This is a non-coding RNA of Miniopterus natalensis, 879 nucleotides long. The record is from RefSeq and is a predicted model, not a curated record. NCBI's taxonomy places the organism in Eukaryota, Metazoa, Chordata, Mammalia, Chiroptera, Miniopteridae.
UCUUCAUGUCGUCCGGCCUCCUCCGCAGCUCGCGCAGCUGCAAUUUAAAGAGGACAAGAGAAGAACAUAAGGCCCAAAGUCUGAUUCCCUUCUGAGGUAAUAAAUGGAGCAGGACCUACUGAAGACAACGCUGUGACACAGCCAUCACAGGUUUUUAGGUAGCAGGUCCUGCAAGGAGGACUCUGAUGAGCUGCGCAGCCACCGAGAAAAAGCGGACUGCUCGCCGCAGCACCAGAAGCUGGGAAUUUCGUCCGGUGAUCCUGUAGAUGCUGGGGCGGAUUUCCAGGAAGCGCGGCAACUCUGAGCGUCUGACCUAAGAGAUACUGUGAACAUCCCUUCAAAUGAAAUCCUAUGAAGAAGUCCAAUUAAUAUGUGAACAGAAAGCAGAAACGCCUCCAUUCGAGGAAGUCUCUGGCUGAGCAGUGCCUCCACCACCCUAUCAUGCCUGUCAGUACAUUGAAGAGAGGGAACCACCACUUUUUGCUUCAUUCUUUGAAGACCAAGCUGAGGUGAAGAGGGAGCAUGGAAGGCAAUUCCUAAAAUAUCUAAGAAAACGUGAGAGUAAAAUCUGCAUUCCGGUGAUUAAGCUUGUACGCUUCUUGGGAAAGUACUUGGAUAAACAGAAGAGGAACACAAACUACCUAGAACGCCAGAUUGUCUAUCAUAAGGGAUUAGAAAAGAAGGCCGAGGAGGAAGACCCGUUUAAGAAGCCUGCUGAAGCGUCAGGUAAAGAGAGCUAACAUCUGAAGGCAGCAAAGCAAGUCUUUCCAUUGUUGCUCCCCAAAUCGGCUACUUAAGAAUCUUACUCUUCUUCAUUCGACAGAAGACUGCUUUCCUUCAUUGCUGUGUGUACAAAUAAAUUGGCUUUUGCAUUAUAAC